UCAGGACGAACGCUGGCGGCGCGCCUAACACAUGCAAGUCGAACGGAGCUUAAAGAGCUUGCUUUUUAAGCUUAGUGGCGAACGGGUGAGUAACGCGUGAGUAACCUGCCCUAGAGUGGGGGACAACAGUUGGAAACGACUGCUAAUACCGCAUAAGCCCACGGUGCCGCAUGACACUGAGGGAAAAGGAUUUAUUCGCUUUAGGAUGGACUCGCGUCCAAUUAGCUAGUUGGUGAGGUAACGGCCCACCAAGGCGACGAUUGGUAGCCGGACUGAGAGGUUGAACGGCCACAUUGGGACUGAGACACGGCCCAGACUCCUACGGGAGGCAGCAGUGGGGGAUAUUGCACAAUGGGGGAAACCCUGAUGCAGCGACGCCGCGUGGAGGAAGAAGGUUUUCGGAUUGUAAACUCCUGUCGUUAGGGACGAUAAUGACGGUACCUAACAAGAAAGCACCGGCUAACUACGUGCCAGCAGCCGCGGUAAAACGUAGGGUGCAAGCGUUGUCCGGAAUUACUGGGUGUAAAGGGAGCGCAGGCGGGAAGACAAGUUGGGAGUGAAAACCAUGGGCUCAACCCAUGAAUUGCUUUCAAAACUGUUUUUCUUGAGUAGUGCAGAGGUAGAUGGAAUUCCCGGUGUAGCGGUGGAAUGCGUAGAUAUCGGGAGGAACACCAGUGGCGAAGGCGGUCUACUGGGCACCAACUGACGCUGAGGCUCGAAAGCAUGGGUAGCAAACAAAAGUAGAUACCCUGGUAGUCCAUGCCGUAAACGAUGAUUACUAUGGGUGUUGGGGGAUUGACCCCCUCAGUGCCGCAGUUAACACAAUAAGUAAUCCACCUGGGGAGUACGACCGCAAGGUUGAAACUCAAAGGAAUUGACGGGGGCCCGCACAAGCAGUGGAGUAUGUGGUUUAAUUCGAAGCAACGCGAAGAACCUUACCAGGUCUUGACAUCCGAUGCAUAGCACAGAGAUGUGUGAAAUCCUUCGGGACAUCGAGACAGGUGGUGCAUGGUUGUCGUCAGCUCGUGUCGUGAGAUGUUGGGUUAAGUCCCGCAACGAGCGCAACCCUUAUUGCCAGUUACUACGUUAAGAGGACUCUGGCGAGACUGCCGUUGACAAAACGGAGGAAGGUGGGGAGGACGUCAAAUCAUCAUGCCCUUUAUGACCUGGGCUACACACGUACUACAAUGGCGUUAAACAAAGAGAAGCAAGACCGCGAGGUGGAGCAAAACUCAAAAACAACGUCUCAGUUCAGAUUGCAGGCUGCAACUCGCCUGCAUGAAGUCGGAAUUGCUAGUAAUCGCGGAUCAGCAUGCCGCGGUGAAUACGUUCCCGGGCCUUGCAC
RNAcentral lists this ribosomal RNA (1345 nucleotides) under uncultured bacterium. RNAcentral describes it as "16S ribosomal RNA". It matches the Rfam family "Bacterial small subunit ribosomal RNA", at positions 24 to 1386 of the family's 1533-position model. The record is from RNAcentral.